RNAcentral lists this ribosomal RNA (209 nucleotides) under uncultured bacterium. RNAcentral's name for it is "partial 16S ribosomal RNA". It matches the Rfam family "Bacterial small subunit ribosomal RNA", at positions 568 to 775 of the family's 1533-position model. The record is from RNAcentral.
CGCGUAGGUGGUUUGUUAAGUUGGAUGUGAAAGCCCCGGGCUCAACCUGGGAACUGCAUCCAAAACUGGCAAGCUAGAGUACGGUAGAGGGUGGUGGAAUUUCCUGUGUAGCGGUGAAAUGCGUAGAUAUAGGAAGGAACACCAGUGGCGAAGGCGACCACCUGGACUGAUACUGACACUGAGGUGCGAAAGCGUGGGGAAGCAAAACA